AAGAAAAUAACCCGAGAGAUAUCAAGGAGACAUCGAAACUACAGACCCUCUCUGCGAUCUCUGAUUUAAACGACAUUGUUCUUAUAUCCGUUAAACAACCAUGUCUUCUGGUUUCAGUGGCGAUGAAACUGCACCUUUCUUUGGCUUCCUUGGCGCCGCUGCCGCUCUCGUCUUCUCCUGUAUGGGAGCGGCAUAUGGAACAGCUAAGAGUGGUGUUGGUGUGGCAUCGAUGGGAGUGAUGAGGCCUGAACUUGUGAUGAAGUCAAUUGUACCAGUUGUUAUGGCUGGUGUGUUGGGUAUAUAUGGGUUGAUUAUUGCAGUUAUUAUCAGUACUGGAAUUAACCCUAAGGCCAAGUCGUAUUACCUGUUUGAUGGGUAUGCACAUCUUUCAUCUGGUCUUGCUUGUGGCCUUGCUGGGCUUUCUGCUGGAAUGGCCAUUGGAAUUGUUGGUGAUGCUGGUGUCAGAGCUAAUGCCCAACAACCAAAGCUUUUUGUUGGAAUGAUUCUCAUCCUCAUUUUUGCUGAAGCAUUGGCAUUAUAUGGACUUAUCGUUGGCAUUAUCUUAUCCUCUCGAGCUGGUCAGUCUAGGGCGGAUUAAGCAGGGAUAUUAGGACCUAGUGUUAUUCUUUUAUGGCUUAGUGGUGUGACUGCAGCAGAAAGGAUUAAAUGAUUGUUCACUGAUUAUUGAUAGUGAGGAACCGCUUGCAAUGUUCUGAAAUUACGGAAGUGUCUGUGUUGCCAGGCACUUGGUGGUUUCUUUGUGGUGUUUGCAGAAGUAGGAUCGAGUCUCUCUUCAGAAUAAAAGCUGGUGAAGCUGUAGUAUGUUCGCUUUUUAUAUUUUUUUAAUGUGUCAAUGUAUUCUGUGGAACCAUAAACUGUUAUUGAAAACUUUAAUUUCAGGUCUAAUCUAUCUAUGGCACUGUUAUUUAUUAAGCUUUGACGUUCAUGUAUCAUAUUUUUGGUUUGAGGUGCAUUGAGAAUGGCAUAUUUAUAUCUUUCGUUCGUUGG
RNAcentral lists this unclassified non-coding RNA (1008 nucleotides) under Hevea brasiliensis (rubber tree). Lineage: Eukaryota; Viridiplantae; Streptophyta; Magnoliopsida; Malpighiales; Euphorbiaceae. The record is from RNAcentral.